AGUGAACGCUGGCGGUAGGCCUAACACAUGCAAGUCGAACGGUAGCACAGUAAGAGCUUGCUCUUACGGGUGGCGAGUGGCGGACGGGUGAGGAAUACAUCGGAAUCUACUUUUUCGUGGGGGAUAACGUAGGGAAACUUACGCUAAUACCGCAUACGACCUACGGGUGAAAGCAGGGGAUCUUCGGACCUUGCGCGAUUGAAUGAGCCGAUGUCGGAUUAGCUAGUUGGCGGGGUAAAGGCCCACCAAGGCGACGAUCCGUAGCUGGUCUGAGAGGAUGAUCAGCCACACUGGAACUGAGACACGGUCUAGACUCCUACGGGAGGCAGCAGUGGGGAAUAUUGGACAAUGGGCGCAAGCCUGAUCCAGCCAUACCGCGUGGGUGAAGAAGGCCUUCGGGUUGUAAAGCCCUUUUGUUGGGAAAGAAAAGCAGCAGGUUAAUACCCCGCUGUUCUGACGGUACCCAAAGAAUAAGCACCGGCUAACUUCGUG
Molecule: ribosomal RNA, 492 nt
Filed under: uncultured bacterium
Lineage: Bacteria
Description: partial 16S ribosomal RNA
Rfam family: Bacterial small subunit ribosomal RNA
Source: RNAcentral